AAACGUUCACCCUGAUACAGGGCGCAGUGGUUCGCAGGUCAUGGAACGGGGGCCUGUU
Molecule: non-coding RNA, 58 nt
Submitted as: unclassified sequences
Source: Rfam